This 1260-nucleotide ribosomal RNA is filed under the name Triticum aestivum (bread wheat). RNAcentral describes it as "partial small subunit ribosomal RNA". Lineage: Eukaryota; Viridiplantae; Streptophyta; Magnoliopsida; Poales; Poaceae. The record is from RNAcentral.
AUGGACUGGCCGACCAAGAAGUCGCCGCAGUCCGGCUCUGGCCUGGCGCAGCUUGCCGCCGGCCUCAGCAAGCGCCUCGCGGAAGAAAACCCCAGGACCAACCUCGUCUUCUCGCCGCUGUCCAUCUACACAGCUCUGUCGCUCCUGGCCGCCGGCGCCAGGGACACCACGCCGGACGAGAUCCUCCGCAUCCUUGGCGCGCGGUCGUGUGGCGAGCUCGAGAGCUUCGUGUCCCGCAUGGCGGCGGACGCGCUCCAGGACAGGUCCGCCUCGGGCGGUCCUCGUGUGGCGUUCGCGUGCGGCGUGUGGAGCGACCUGUCGCGGCCGCUCAAGCCGGCCUUCCGCGAGGCCGUCGUGGGCACGAUACAAGCCGAGGCAAGCACCGUCAACUUCCGGGGCGCACCGGAGGAAGCGCGUGGCCAGAUCAACGCGUGGGCGGCUCAGGUGACCAAGAACCUCAUCCGCAACGUUCUCCCCAAAGGAUCGAUAAAUCCGGCAAUAACUCGGGUCGUCCUCGGCAACGCCGUGUACUUUAAGGGCAAGUGGGAGGACCAGGCGUUCGACAAGAGGGACACCAUGCACGAAUCCUUCUACCGGCUCGACCGCAGCAAGGUCGACGUGCCCUUCAUGCAGAGUACAAUGUCGCAGUUCGUCGCUGUGCACGACGGGUUCAAGGUACUCAAACUCCGGUACAAAAUGGCGGCCCCCUUUUCUACUAGUGAUCCAUCCUAGUGUGCUUCUCCGUCGGUGUUCUCCGGCUCCAAUCGUACUAGGUACACGCAAUUCUCCAUGUGCAUAUUUCUCCCGGACGCCCAUGACGGCCUGUGGGGGCUGCUGGACACGAUUGAGUCCCGACCUGGGUUCCUGCAUGACCACCUGCCGGAGCAGCAAAUCGCCCUCCGCGAGUUCCGCAUGCCAAAGUUCAAGCUGUCCUUCCAUAGCAGCAUCGUCGCCGUGCUCAAGAAGCUAGGGCUUGAGCUGCCGUUCUGUGAGCAUGGCAACCUAUCUGGCAUGGUGGAGGACGAUGGCUCUGGCUUGCCGAUAGUGGUGGGGGAUGUCAUCCACAAGGCUGUUGUCGAGGUAAAUGAGGAAGGGACUGAAGCCGGCGCUGUCACCGUGUUGGUCGGGGCUCUUGGAUGCGCAAGGCCUCCGUCACUUCCAACACCUCCGCAGGUGGAUUUCAUUGCCGACCAUCCAUUUUCCUACUACAUAGUGGAGGAGGCGACCGGAGCUAUUGUCUUCGCGGGGGCACGUCCUUGA